This 303-nucleotide ribosomal RNA is filed under the name uncultured bacterium. Its description in RNAcentral is "partial 16S ribosomal RNA". It matches the Rfam family "Bacterial small subunit ribosomal RNA", at positions 507 to 809 of the family's 1533-position model. The record is from RNAcentral.
AGCAGCCGCCGCGGGAAUACGAAGGGUGCAAGCGUUAAUCGGAAUUACUGGGCGUAAAGCGUGCGUAGGCGGUUUGUUAAGUCUGUUGUGAAAUCCCCGGGCUCAACCUGGGAAUGGCAAUGGAUACUGGCAAGCUAGAGUGUGUCAGAGGAUGGUGGAAUUCCCGGUGUAGCGGUGAAAUGCGUAGAGAUCGGGAGGAACAUCAGUGGCGAAGGCGGCCAUCUGGGACAACACUGACGCUGAGGCACGAAAGCGUGGGGAGCAAACAGGAUUAGAUACCCCAGUAGUCCCUGUCUCUUAUAA